UACGUAGGGUGCAAGCGUUGUCCGGAAUUAUUGGGCGUAAAGAGCUCGUAGGCGGUUUUUCGCGUCUGCUGUGAAAACUCGGGGCUUAACCCCGGGCCUGCAGUGGAUACGGGCAGGCUAGAGUGCGGUAGGGGAGACUGGAAUUCCUGGUGUAGCGGUGAAAUGCGCAGAUAUCAGGAGGAACACCGGAGGCGAAGGCGGGUCGCUGGGCCGUAACUGACGCUGAGGAGCGAAAGCGUGGGGAGCGAACAGG
RNAcentral lists this ribosomal RNA (253 nucleotides) under uncultured bacterium. RNAcentral describes it as "partial 16S ribosomal RNA". It matches the Rfam family "Bacterial small subunit ribosomal RNA", at positions 524 to 776 of the family's 1533-position model. The record is from RNAcentral.